Molecule: ribosomal RNA, 501 nt
Filed under: uncultured bacterium
Lineage: Bacteria
Description: partial 16S ribosomal RNA
Rfam family: Bacterial small subunit ribosomal RNA
Source: RNAcentral
AUUGAACGCUGGCGGCGUGCUUAACACAUGCAAGUCGAGCGGAAACAGGUGUAGCAAUACAUGCUGACGAGCGGCGAACGGGUGAGUAAUGCUUCGGAAUCUUCCUCGUAGUGGGGAAUAACCUGGGGAAACUCAGGCUAAUACCGCAUACGAACUACGGUUGAAAGCAGGGGAUCGCAAGACCUUGCGCUAUGAGAUGAGCCGAAGUCGGAUUAGCUAGUUGGUAGGUAACGGCCUACCAAGGCGACGAUCCGUAGCUGGUCUGAGAGGACGACCAGCCACACUGGGACUGAGACACGGCCCAGACUCCUACGGGAGGCAGCAGUGGGGAAUAUUGGACAAUGGGGGCAACCCUGAUCCAGCGACGCCGCGUGUGUGAAGAAGGCCUGCGGGUUGUAAAGCACUUUUAGUGGGGAUGAAAAGCCAAGGGCUAAUACCCUUUGGUCUUGACCUAACCCAAAGAAAAAGCACCGGCUAACUCUGUGUCAGCAGCCGCCGUAA